CUUUCCCUUUCCUUUUUCCAGUGGCUACUUUCCCCACACACAUAUCCUACAUCUCAUUGUGCGGACUUCUAACAUCUCUCCCGCUCAAGCCUAGAGCCUGGCUGCUAGAACAAUCAAGUCUUUGGCCUACCAGGAUCUCCCUCCUCAAAAUUUUGAUUGCAAAAAUGAAGCAAAUGAUAUCUUUUAUAAUUUUUCAUUCAAAGUGACUGUUUCCUCAACCCAGAUCAGAAACUGACAGUGCUGAUGGGCAUCCUGGGAGCUGUGAAGAAUGACAUUACACAGCAUGCAAGGUCCACCGUGGGCGCUGCUGUGGGGAACUUCCUGCUGUUCUUCAGUGACACUUUAUCCCAGGGCCCAUCUUCUGUUUUGACUGAACGUGACAGAUUAUACAAGAGUCUACAAAUAUCCAUUAACUCUUCCUGAAGAAACCAUGUUGGCCAUGCAUCUGGAAGAAAGAAAAAGGAAGUGAGGAGGAAAAACAUUAACUUAUCAGAUCAUGACCCAUAGACAUCACUUCUGCUUGCUUUAAUCAUCAUCACUAGUUAUACCAGCACACCCAGCAGUAGGGGAUGCAAAAAUACAGAUUCCAGCUGGCGUCCAUAUGCUGAGAUAAUAUACAAGAUGUUUAAUCCGAAACAUCUUAGAAUUCAAAUGUUAACUUCUUCUCAUACAGGUUUUAUAUAAAAUGUAUUUAUCUACCAUAUAUAUUCUGGUUAAAGUAUUUUACAAUUUGCCUUUUAUAGUUUUGUUUACAUAAUCUCUCCAUAUUGAAAUUCUUUGUUGUUAACAGUGUGGUUCAGCUGAACAAUAUAUGAGUGUAUCUAUAUAUUUUGUUGUUGAGUAUAUCUUUAGAAUUAAUACUUAGAAAUUCUACAUUUUCUUCAAUACUCUGAAAGUGCUCAAUUCUUUUUUUUAAUGCUCAAUUAUUCUUAAAGCACUUUUGUAAUUUGAAAUUUUUGCAUUUCAGUAUUGACUAGUGGACUUUGUUUUGACUAGGAAAAGAGCUAAAGAUAUAAUUUUCUUUUUUCUUUUAAUGAACUUUUCUAUUUGACCUAACAAAUUACUGAGUAAGUAGUGUAUGCUGGUGUAAACUGACUAGAUAGAUAGAUAGACCAAUAGAGAGUUAUCUACAUCUAUUUUGCUGCUCUGUAAAUCUAAUCUAUGUCUACCUAUUAACAAUAUCUAUCUAUCAUCUGUUUAUCUAUAUAUCGUGUCUAUCUACCUAUAAAGAUGGAGUAGAUUUUUAAAGAUUUGUUAUUGUAAUCCGAGGAUCUAUUUCUACACAAAACAGUUUUUUCAAAAGGAUUACCACCUGGUUAUUAUUCCACGUAAAUUUUAUUUCUUUUAAGUUUUCGUUUACAUUAUUCAGUUCAAACUUUCAAAAUUUACAAUUUAAUUAUUUCUUGCAUUUGAUGAAGACAUUUAGUAUGGGAGGAAGGAUGAUUUCUUAACACUAAUGGGUCAAUUUAGGAAAAUACCAUGUGCCAUCAUUUAUUCAAGCCAUCUUCUAUAUCUCACAGUAAAACUGUUGCAAAGUAAGACAUGCAAGUUAUAGAGAUUUUAGUAUUGAAAUACAAGGAAUUCCAGAAGUGAUAGAAUAAUAUACAGAUUGAUAUUAAUUUGGUUCUAAUCCAUAUGUUUCUCCUUACUUAAAAAUUCAAUCAGCUUUCCCAUUGUAUUUCUAUCUUGACAAUGGACAACCAACUGGUCAAAUGUCACUGCUGGUAUUUCUGUGGAAGAUAUUAGGUUAGGCUAACCCAUAGAAAGUUGUAUAUGUAUCAUAUGUAUCUUCUAUAUUCCCAUGAGGGUGAUUUAUCUAUUCCACUAACAGCCAAUUUGUGGUAAUAAUAAUAAUAAUAAUAAUACUUUUCCUAAAGUGGCAGCUCCCUCAUGUACUACUAAUUUAACGGUCCAAUAGAGAAAACUCAGGAAAGAAGUAUUUUUGGAGUUAGACUCACUUGUGCUCUUCUCUAGCAGAGACAUAAAUCAGCAAAUCUAGACAUUUACUGACCACGGCCAAUGUAAUGUUUCUACCUCAGAUCUCUCUCAUGGCUUGUCAGCCCGCUAUCAUCUGAGACACUCAACAGUUGUCAAAGGAAAGCAAUGGUCUUAUAUGGGGCUACUGGAUCUGAGUAUAUUCAAAGUCAUACCUGUAGAUAAAAUUAUUGUCAAAUGUUUAAUGUGAUUCAAGAACCUGAAACAAAAUAAAGCAAAAGACAAAACUAUUACAGCACAUGCAUACUACUUGAAUACACCUAGUGGUAGAGACAAAACAAAAAAUUUAAAACACUGUAAAAUAUAAAGUGCAAUGCAUUUAAGCAGUUAAAGAAAAUUACAUGUGAAUAAGAAAAGGUUUGUGAUAUUAAAACAAUACAUUAAAUAAAUUAAAAUUUAAUAAAUUAUAUAUAAUAUAUAUAAAUUAAAAUUUAAUAAACUUAAUAAAUUAAAAAUAAGUUAUUUAACAAACUGAAAAAAUAGAACACUAUUUAAAAAUAUUACUAGUCUAAGCUGCAAAUUCUGGGAAUUUUUUCAGCUCUCAAGGAAAACCAGAAAAAAAACUUUAAAAAAAUUAAUGGGGCAUAUCAUAUAUCUAUGUCCUACAGAUAUGUGGGAUAGCUCCAUAUAAUUUUUUUUGAUAGCUCCAUAUAAUUUUGUGAAUAAGUAUACAAAUAUUAUAUAUAUCACAUAUUAUAUACACAUAUAAAAUAUAUAUAAUGUAUAGAUACACACAAUCUCAGUCUGUUCAUAAAUUAAACUUAUAAAUCUCAUCUGUAAAUUAAUAUUCAUCAGUAAAGUCUUUUAUAACUAAUGCUUGAAUAAAUCAAUAAUCAAACACUUUCAAGAAUAUAACACUGACAAGUACUAUGUGUUAAAGCGGAAAGGAUUUAGCUACAAUGAUGCUCAGAAUAAAACUCAUAGUAUCAACUUCAAUAUUAAAUAAAUUACAAGAAACUAAAACAUUCUUUCAAAAAAAGGAACUAAGCAUUCAGAUAAAAAGGAGAGUCAUACUAAAAAAACUAAAUAGAGA
This is a long non-coding RNA of Canis lupus familiaris (dog), 3028 nucleotides long. RefSeq lists it as uncharacterized. NCBI's taxonomy places the organism in Eukaryota, Metazoa, Chordata, Mammalia, Carnivora, Canidae. The record is from RefSeq and is a predicted model, not a curated record. The transcript has 4 exons.